This is a long non-coding RNA of Neopsephotus bourkii (Bourke's parrot), 214 nucleotides long. RefSeq lists it as uncharacterized. Lineage: Eukaryota; Metazoa; Chordata; Aves; Psittaciformes; Psittacidae. The transcript has 3 exons. The record is from RefSeq and is a predicted model, not a curated record.
UCCAAAGUGAACAAAAUGUGAAACUAUCAAAUGAAAUAAAACCUGGUGGGUAUUUGUAGUCCAGGAAGGCUGAACAAGGUGCAUCAAUCAUCACAACUGUCAUAGGGACGAUUACAGAGACAAUGCAGCUAUUUGAAUCUGAAACUCAAAUUAGAAGAUCUAGAAGGGGAGGGAAUGUGGGAGAAGACAUGAAUAAAGCAAUGUGAUGAAUUCA